Molecule: ribosomal RNA, 407 nt
Filed under: uncultured soil bacterium
Lineage: Bacteria
Description: bacterial SSU rRNA
Rfam family: Bacterial small subunit ribosomal RNA
Source: RNAcentral
CUGGGUUUGACAUACGCCGGAAAGCUCUAGAGAUAGAGCCCCUUUUAGUCGGUGUACAGGUGGUGCAUGGCUGUCGUCAGCUCGUGUCGUGAGAUGUUGGGUUAAGUCCCGCAACGAGCGCAACCCUCGUCCCAUGUUGCCAGCAGCACCCUUCGGGGUGGCUGGGGACUCAUGGGAGACUGCCGGGGUCAACUCGGAGGAAGGUGGGGAUGACGUCAAGUCAUCAUGCCCCUUAUGUCCAGGGCUUCACGCAUGCUACAAUGGCCGGUACAAAGGGCUGCGAUCCCGUGAGGGGGAGCGAAUCCCAAAAAGCCGGUCUCAGUUCGGAUUGGGGUCUGCAACUCGACCCCAUGAAGUCGGAGUCGCUAGUAAUCGCAGAUCAGCAACGCUGCGGUGAAUACGUUCCC